This 119-nucleotide ribosomal RNA is filed under the name Scophthalmus maximus (turbot). The record is from RNAcentral. Lineage: Eukaryota; Metazoa; Chordata; Actinopteri; Pleuronectiformes; Scophthalmidae.
GCUUACGGCCACACCGCCUGGUUCACGCCCGAUCUCGUUUGAUCUCGGAAGCUAAGAUAGGUUGGGCCUGGUUAGUACUUGGAUGGGAGAUCGCCUGGGAAUACCAGGUGCUGAAGGCC